GGUUGAGCAGUUGCAGGCUGAACUGGCAGCAGCAGUGAGAGGCAAUGACAUCCUCAAAUGUGAAGUCCAUAAUGCAAUGGACAACCUCUCCUGUGUCAGCCACAAGUUGAAAGAUUUAGAACUUCAGAUGCAAAAGAAGGAUGAUAGUAUAAGUCGGCUUCAAAAUGACCUCCAAGAAUCUAUGAAGGAGCUAGCAAUCAUAAGGGGCAUUCUACCCAAAGUUUCUGAGGAGAGAGAUUUGAUAUGGGAGGAAGUGAAG
RNAcentral lists this unclassified non-coding RNA (259 nucleotides) under Hevea brasiliensis (rubber tree). The record is from RNAcentral. Lineage: Eukaryota; Viridiplantae; Streptophyta; Magnoliopsida; Malpighiales; Euphorbiaceae.